AUCGGGUAUAUAGUCGCACGCGUGACGUCAGCACAGCGCGACAGCCGAAUGCCACUGAACGGUAGCUGACAACGACGCUGAUGAUUGAUGCGGAUUGAGGCUGAGAACGGAGUUAAGUGAAACGUGGUUGCUGAGCAGCGCCCAUCGCCUCGCUGGGGGAAUACUGGACAGCGCAACGGCAGGGGAGAUAGCACUGUCUGUUGGUUUCCUGGGAGAGCGUGUUCUUCAGUUGGGGCAGGCUAUCCGCCAUGGUGAAUGUAAGUGCAAGUUGGUAUUGUAAAUAGGGACUGUUUUCUUUAUUUUUAUAAUAUGUCCUGUAACCAAAUGCAUUUAAUAACAUGACUGUAUUUUGGAUGUGUGCUUAGUAGUGUCUAUUCUUUGUUUUAUAACAGGAAUAGUCCACUACUGUUGUCUUAUUUUGGGUCUUAUUUUGGUCUUAUCUUUUCUUUUCUUUCUUCACCGGUCUCUUUGACCUGAACCAGUUUUUUGUUGGGAGUCCUGAGUUUCAGUUUAUGGACAUUGAAGAUACUUUUUGUUCAUAAGGAAUAUAUUGAACCUUGAAGAGAGGUGUUUCUUGUUGCUACCUAAAUGUUACAGAGGAACCUAAGUUAUUUUGUGGAAACACACAAACCAAACAAAUUAAUGCUGCUCUCCUUUUGGGGAACAGUCGGGAAAUAAAAGACCCACAUUAUUUUUGGAGCUGCCUGUCGUGUGCGGUUUUUUUCUCGUUCCUACACCUGGCCCCACACCCACACGCCACCGCCAGCC
Melanotaenia boesemani (Boeseman's rainbowfish) is the source of this 768-nucleotide long non-coding RNA. RefSeq lists it as uncharacterized. NCBI's taxonomy places the organism in Eukaryota, Metazoa, Chordata, Actinopteri, Atheriniformes, Melanotaeniidae. The transcript has 3 exons. The record is from RefSeq and is a predicted model, not a curated record.